Mauremys mutica (yellowpond turtle) is the source of this 1467-nucleotide long non-coding RNA. RefSeq lists it as uncharacterized. The record is from RefSeq and is a predicted model, not a curated record. The transcript has 3 exons. Lineage: Eukaryota; Metazoa; Chordata; Testudines; Geoemydidae.
UGUUCAUGAGUGCAGUAUAGUUUGACUGACUGAGUCCAAACAGGAGCCUUUAGGAUCAUCAGAUGCAGGAGCAGCAGUCGAAUAGCUUGUGCCCUGGAAAUAGCUCAGGCUCAUUAAGCCAUUUUCUGACCCUGGAGUCUUAGCACACUUGGAGGCAUAUACAACUCCCACCGACUUUCCUGGGAUUGAGCACCGCAAAACAAGGCUGGUGUAUGGCCUGAAGUGUGCAGUCCUUAUCAUUUCCCAUUCUCCUUCCUGGCUGCUGGAGGUCACAUAGUGUGUGAGAAGCUGGAAACCACAGGGGGAGAAUAAGGCAGCUCUGGUGCCUACUAAAGCAGAUUCCAAACCAACACCUGGCAUAUGAAGGCUCCCAUGAGCCAGUGACCCCUUUACCACAGUAUUACUGCUUUCCAGAAGGAAACCACACCCACCGUAAACACCCUCUCUGGCUCCCCCUUGGCCCGCAUGUUGGUAUCAUGAACUUGCUUGAGAAUCAUCCAGGCUUCAUCAUGUUUACCUAUCUGGAAACACCAAGGGAAGAACAUCUCAAGUCAGCCAUUAAAUACUAUGGUCUCCAGUCAUGUGGUUUUAAAAAUGACACAGAGAACCAGCUUUGGAGGCCCAGGUGUAACGGAGCAGUGCCGUGCCACAUCGUGUGUUGAGGAGGGAGAAGCGGAGGGCAGAAGGCUGAACCAUCAAGGUUUAUAUUUGCUGACUGUGCAGUAGUUUUGUGGUAGAAGAAGGAAACCACUCCAUAAUUAUUAUUUGGGAGGUGGGAGUUAGGCAAAGUGUUGUCUCCAGGCUAAGCAGAGGGUAUGUCAGGAGACAUGGUUCUCUUCCCAGCUCUGCUAAUAACUUGCUGUUUAACCUUGGGCAAGUCGAUGUGCCUCAGUUGUUCCAUCUAUAAAAUGGGAAUAAAUAAUACUUACCUACAUCACGGUGGGGUCUGAGGUUUAAUCCGUGUAUGUCAGCUGCUUUGAGAGCCUCAGGUAAAAGGUGCUAUGUACAAUAAGUGCAAGGUGAUAACAAUAAAUAAUUAUAUGCUGUCCCUUCAGCUGUGUGAGUAGUACACUUCCUCUGCUGGUCUGAGAUCCAACCCCCCAUGUAUUUUAUCCUGCGUCUAUUUCUUGCCCUUCACUCCUCUUCCUGCUCAGCUCUACUAUUUAAAUUCCCAAAGGGUACAUGCUUGUGUUUUAAUCAGGUACACAAACCCUUUGAUGGGUUUAUGAAUCUCAGGUGUCUGCAUUUUGCUUGUUGUUCGAUGCGGAUGUCAACAUUAAAAAGUGAUACGAUGAAAGUACUCUGUGAUUAGCACCUUAAUACAGAGAGUCUCUUAAGUUUUAAAUGAAACUGGCAAGCCAACAUGUGGGUAUGUGGCCAGGGGGCUGGGGAGAGGGCAGUGAAGAGACAGCCAGAAACACGCGAAGACCAGGUCUCCUUUGUUAAUUGAUAUUGGAGUACAGUUUU